Molecule: long non-coding RNA, 5473 nt
Filed under: Lynx pardinus (Iberian lynx)
Lineage: Eukaryota; Metazoa; Chordata; Mammalia; Carnivora; Felidae
Source: RNAcentral
AAUGCCUUCAAGGAACUCUUGAGGGGAAGAUGGGGGCAUUAUUAGUUGGAUAGCUAAGCUAUUCAGAAAGAUACACAUUGUAAGGGCAUCUGGAGAAAAACAGCAUAUUUUGAUAUUAAGUGUUCUAAGGCAGCCUAGGUAGAAGAUAGGCCUUAGCUUUAAUAUGUUCUGUCCAUGUGGGCCUUUGAGAUUGGUUGCUUUCAGCAGCUACAAUCCGGGGGCUAGCCAACUGGAGUAGUUGCUGGGGUCUCAGUCGGCAAUGUUCCACUAACCUACACUAGCAGAGCUUGACCCCAGCAAUGAUUACAUAAUCACAAGGAUAGUCUUUUUGUCUCUUAGUGCAUUGAAAGGAUGCCGAGACACUGGUGUGUGCAUUGAUUUUCACGCAGACCCAGACAUUAAACUGUAAAGGUAGCAAAUUCCUCUUUAGUAAUAAAUCAUUAGUGUGUGAGGAUCUAGCUUUUAAUUUUUAAAUUCCAGAUGUAAGAACCAACAUAGGUAGCAAAAUAUCAGCUGUAAAAGACCUGUGUCUUGCCAUUUUGUUUGGAAUUACAUAGAGCUCCCAGGAGAGAACUGAGGUGGGCUAACCUCUCAGGUCUAUGUGGCUUGUCUAGAAGCUCAGAAGACCAGCUCCCAUAACUAUGGCUCUGUAGAUUCAUUAAUCAUGUAUACUAUGUCCAAGACUUUUGGUUUUCCAGAAUCCAAACUGUGGCUCAACCAUAGAGGAAUGCUUGCUUUUAUUAAUGAACAGUGAAAGUGAAAUGGGAACCUAUUACUUUAGAAAUAUAGCUCCCACUUGGACAGGUGGAAGGAAAAUUGAAUGAGAUCAUCAUAACACCAAAGGCCAAAAUUUACUAGGGAGAGUAUACCUGGAAGUCUUAUUCUACUAAAUCAAGUUGAUGGAGAAGUUUGAGGACUUGAGAUGGAGAGAAAUUUCAGCAUGUUUUAGACAAAAGAAUUAUGGUUCAGGAAGUGAUUUCAGCCCUGUUAUCAGCAGAUAAUACUAACUGGAGAAGUAUUAAGGGAUUUAGGAAGACAGAAAUCUACUAAAGAGGAAACAUGAUGUCUUAAAGGCCAAACUGGACUUACACAAAAGAGAAAUGGAUCUAAGUGCUCUUAAAGAUAGGGCUAUACAGAAGGGAGAUAUUUUAGUCAUUAUUGGAUAAGAAUGAGUGUCCAGAGGAAGUACAGAUAGGAGAGCAGAGAGAACAGAGCAAUGUGACUCCCCCCAUAGAAAAGGUACUGAGAUCCAGGAAGUGUUUAAGAAGCAUGCUAUAAAAUUGCAGACAGUUCUUCAUGAGAUCAGUUGGGAGCCAUUCUCUUGAAGGCUGCCACAGCUAUUCAAAGUAGAUACAUAAAAUAUAGACAGAUUUAAGAAUUAAAUUCUGAGAAGAUCAAGGUAGAAAAUUUGAAGCAUUAUUUGGUGAGUUUCAAGGUGCCACUACUAAUAUUGAUGGGCCCUGAGUGAACACGCUCAAGAAACAUGAAGAUGUAGAGUUUGGAGGAAAGAUGAGACAAAGGGGUAUUCACGUAGGACAGUAGCAUAAACAGUCCAAACUUGGGAUGAAGUGAAAUGAGGAAAGACUCAUCCUUCAGUGAGGAUUAUCCAACUCAAGGACAUAAAUGUAGGUAAGAUUUGCCUUGACUAAAGUAUCUUCUUGGAAGGUUCAUAACUCCUUGAUUUUACUUCUAGCACAUAAUACAGAACACAGAAGGUAAUAUUAGGAAAACUAAUGUCUGGGUCAGAAAGCAUAGGGAAAAAGAAGCAAACAAAUAAAAACCACUCUAAGAUCCAUAAAAUAGUGAGAAAAAGAAGGGACCACUUGAAGAAACUAGUCAAAAUGUUAACAAAAACAAGGGUCCCUGGGUGGCUAGGUUGGUAGAGUAUCUGACUCUUGAUUUUGGCUCAGGUCAUGAUCUCACAGUUUGUGAGUUUGAGCCCCACAUCAGGCUCUGCACUGACAACAUGGAGCCUGCUUAGGAUUCUCUCUUCCUUUCCUUCUCUGCCCUUCCUUUGCUCAGUUUCUCUCCCUCUCUCUCAAAAUAAAUAAAUAAACAUUUAAAAAACAAAACCAAAACAAAACAAAGACUCAGUUGAGUCUUCUUACUGAAGAAAAAAAGAAAACAAUUAAAGAGGUUUUAAACAUGCAGGCAGAAAAAUAGAGAACCUAAAACAAAACCUAGGUACAGAGAAGGUGACCACUGCAAAUCCCUAAACUUUUGAAAAGACAGGUAUGUUUUAAAUGCCACUCACUGAAGGCAAGGAUAGUGCAUGCAAACAGAUUCCUCCCCCCAACCUAGGGUUCACCGUUUCUAUUAUUAUUUAAAAAAAUUUUUUAAACGUUUAUUUAUUAUUGAGAGACAGAGAGACGCAGAGUGUGAGCAGGGGAUGGAUAGAGAGAGGGGGAGACACAGAAUCUGAAAUAGGCUCCAGGCUCUGAGCUGUCAGCACAGAGCCCGACGCAGGGCUCAAACUCACAGACUGUGAGAUCAUGACCGGAGCUGAAGUCGGUCACCCAACCAACUGAGCCACCCAGGCGCCCCUAGUUUCUAUUAUUACUAACCUUUGAUGGUAACAAGCUCUGUCUGAUGUGGACAACUGCCCCAGACUGACCAGAAUCCUGUUGUAAUUAAAGAUUUUCUCUGCCUAUCUUCCUUCCCUUAGACAUCCCCUAAGUCUCUACUUCAGUCUUGCUAAGAGUAACAUGGGCCUGCAUUAUGCUGAGUCAUUAUGCUUGAGAUAAAUUGACCAUGGAACUGAGGAUUUUCUUGCAUUUUUUAAAUUUAUGAGUGUGAGGUUGGUAUUAUGAUAAUUGCAUGUGUCCUAAUAAGUCUUUGGACACUUUGAUAAAAGGGGAAUAGGGGGACUUUAGGGUAUAUUAAUUAAACUUUGAAAAUGCAUAAGAUUAAGAUCCCUCAAGCUAAGCAGAAUAAGAAUUUGGGAAGGAAAGAAACUGAAACCUUGAUUUCUUUGGAAUUUUGCUGAAGAAUUAUGAAUUUUGAUAUCCUGGACUUUAAUUCACAAAGAAGCUCAGGGGGAUUUAAUAUUUGCUGCUUAAUUUCUCCCCAGAUAUUUGGCAAAUGAGAGGGAUCCACCACAUGGGGUUCAUUGUUUAACCUCUGAUAAAUUCCAUUGAAUAACCUAGCUGGGCCUAAUCUGGUAUGCAAAUUAAAAUGAGCAGUGGGUUUUUGGCUUGAGGUGCAGGAUAGCUUCUAAGAAGAAGAGCCAGACUAUCUGCUCAUAGUCCUAGGAGGCUAACAGAACAGUGAUUGUAUUGGUAUCCUUGCCUCAUGAAGUUGGAAGAAGGACUCCUGCUCCUUGAUAAUGACAACUUGAUUGUUAAGUUCAAAAGGUUAAGAGACCCAAAAUGUGUAGAUACAAGAUAAAUCUUUUCUCUUUCUAGCAUUCUAUUUCUCCUACAAAGCAGGACUUCACCAUUUUGUCAGCAUUGGGAAAAGUAGUUCCUGUCCUUCUCUCUACCUCCUUACUCCUCUCUAAGGGAGGAAAAACUCUUCCAACUGUGAGUUGAGGGGAGAAAGAAGUCAAAAAGCAUGCCCAACUUAGUUCUAAAAGGACCACCCACAGGGUGGGUAUGUUCUUCUCCACAACUCUGUCCAUGAGAUAAGAACACUUGGGUUAGGCCUACUUUCUGAAGGUAGAUCAGAAAUUCUUCUCUUUGUGUACUUUCCAUAUAACUCAGUGGAUUAGAGGCAUUGAUUUUGGGUAAGUGUGUAAGAUUUGCAGAUCUAUCUCUCCUUUGAGGUGUCAUCCCAAGCUCUAACUUGAGGGAAAAGAAUUAGGAAACUUAAAUGAUAUAAUUUAUCCAAACUGAGUUCUCCAAUCCGGUAGUUAUCAUAAUAAUAUUUAAUGAAUAUUUUGACUUCAUUAUGUCUUUCCUCCUCAAACCCCUCCAAGUUUGGAACUAGUUAAAGGUGUAAGCAAGUAUCAUGCCAGCAAAUAUCAUCCCAGCAAAUGUUAAUGGUUAGUAUUUGUUGAGUACCUGGUAUGUACCAGACACUGUGUUAAAAGUUUUACAGGCAUUGCUUCAUGUAAUCCUCACGACAACUCUGAGAUACGCACUCUUGUUACUCCCACCUGACAGAUAAGGUAAUAAGCUUAGAGAGCUGAAGUGACCCACCCAAAGCCAUAUGCAGCUAGUAACCAUGGCUCUCAAACAUGAAAGUGGAUCCAGCCAGUUGACUGCAUUCCAUCAUAAAUCAUCUCUUAAUAUUUUAGGCAAAGAUGAAAACAAGAGCUCUGGCUUAUCCUUGUUGCAGAAAUUAGAUAAUUAUGGGACCAUCAAUCUGUUGUAAAUACUGUGUAAGCAGAUCGCAUCUGAGAUCUGUCAAACUGAGCUGCUACAAACACUUGACAUAAGAUAAAAGUUAAAUUAUGAUCAGAUGCUUCAGACUUUUAAUUUCUGUGUUCUUUUUUUCAUUUAUGAUACUAAUUUUACAUCUAUGAAUUUUUUUUACAUGAAUUCUGAAGAGUUAAUAUGGCUAGAUCCAGCAUCCAUUUCCAUAAUUCAGCCUCUAACUUCUACUACAAUGUGGGAAUACUUUUAACAUGUAGUAUCAUAGGAAAUUAAUAACAAUAGUAAAUAGUUCCUAACACAAUAUUAUAUAAAAAUGAUUAAAUACAGCCUUCGUAGGUUUCCUUUCAUCUUAAAGAAUUACCCUAAGCAUUCCGUUGGGAUUUUGCCUCAACCAUUGUAUGCCUCAACUCACAUGAGACCAUUUAAUUAUGAUAGUCUAUAAGAUACUAAAACACAGUACCUUUAUAAAUAUCAAUAAUAAAAUAUCCAUCAACAUAAUAUCAAGAAUCAAUUUAAUUUUCUUUUACCAGUUUGAUAAUGAUCUUCACAACUCUAUGCCAAAACUGAGAAGCACUUCAAAUUUUUGCACACAUCACCUCUGAAAGCAAUGAAAGAAUAACAGGCUGCAAGAGCCUGUAACUAGCAUAAUCACAUGAGAAAUAUAUUUUAGGCUUUAAGUAUAUUUAAGGAAAUGCUUCCAAAAUUCUUAUCAUCAAAAUGUAUCCACUAUAAUUCAUGAGUUAAUAAUUACACUUUACUUCAAUAUUAGUGUGUCAUAAAAAUUUCACCUUUGAAAGAAAAUGUUAGAGCUUGUAAAAUGGAAGAAUGUGAAGCUAUCACUCUGAGGUACUCUUCUAUAGGGGGACUUGUUGGUGUUGUAUUUUUACCUCUGAAAUUGGUUUCUCAUAGACAUCUUCUCCUAUAGAUUUCUCCUGGGCUAGGAUGGCGUCUCGGUGCAGGACUCGGAGCACUUUCUCUGGUUCUGCAGACCCGUAAUGAGCCUCCAGAACCUCAGGCUUGGUUUUCUCCGUCUUCAGCAUAUGGAUCACAUCUUCCCUGGCCUGUGGGUAGAGUGCAGCAAGGUCAGACAGUCGACAACAUAAAUCACAUGCCAGACUCACAAAAUCAACACAAAGCUUAUUGAACACAUCCCCAUC